Molecule: unclassified non-coding RNA, 348 nt
Filed under: soil metagenome
Description: partial contains 5.8S ribosomal RNA, internal transcribed spacer 2, and large subunit ribosomal RNA
Rfam family: 5.8S ribosomal RNA (bases 1-120)
Source: RNAcentral
GAUGAAGAACGUAGCGAAAUGCGAUAAGUAAUGUGAAUUGCAGAAUUCAGUGAAUCAUCGAGUCUUUGAACGCACAUUGCGCCCCCUGGUAUUCCGGGGGGCAUGCCUGUCCGAGCGUCAUUGCUGCCCUCAAGCACGGCUUGUGUGUUGGGCCCCCGUCCCCGGUUUCCCCCGGGGACGGGCCCGAAAGGCAGCGGCGGCACCGCGUCCGGUCCUCGAGCGUAUGGGGCUUUGUCACCCGCUCUGUAGGCCCGGCCGGCGCCAGCCGACACCCAACUUUAUUUCUCAGGUUGACCUCGGAUCAGGUAGGGAUACCCGCUGAACUUAAGCAUAUCAAUAAGCGGAGGA